Molecule: ribosomal RNA, 253 nt
Filed under: uncultured bacterium
Lineage: Bacteria
Description: partial 16S ribosomal RNA
Rfam family: Bacterial small subunit ribosomal RNA
Source: RNAcentral
UACAGAGGGUGCGAGCGUUAAUCGGAAUUACUGGGCGUAAAGCGUGCGUAGACGGUUAUAUAAGUCGGGUGUGAAAGCCCCGGGCUCAACCUGGGAAUUGCAUUCGAGACUGCAUAGCUAGGGUGCGGAAGAGGGAAGCGGAAUUUCCGGUGUAGCGGUGAAAUGCGUAGAUAUCGGAAGGAACAUCGGUGGCGAAGGCGGCGUCCUGGACCAAUACUGACACUGAGGAGCGAAAGCCAGGGGAGCAAACGGG